CAACAUCGCCUCUUGCAAAAUAAAUGAAUAAGAGGUCCCGCCUGCCCUGUGACUAUAUGUUCAACGGCCGCGGUAUUUUGACCGUGCGAAGGUAGCGCAAUCACUUGUCUUUUAAAUGAAGACCUGUAUGAAUGGCAUCACGAGGGCUUAGCUGUCUCCCCCUCCCAGUCAAUGAAAUUGAUUUUCCCGUGCAGAAGCGGGAAUAAGAACAUAAGACGAGAAGACCCUAUGGAGCUUAAGACGCCAGGACAGCUCAUGUUAAACACCCCAGAACAAAGGGAAUAAACUUAGUGAAACCCUGCCCUAGUGUCUUUGGUUGGGGCGACCACGGGGAAAAACUUAACCCCCAUGCGGAAUAGGAAUACUAUUUUCCUAGACUCAAGAGCUCCCGCUCUAAUAGACAGAAUUUCUGACCAAAAGGAUCCGGCAAUGCCGAUCAACGGACCGAGUUACCCUAGGGAUAACAGCGCAAUCCUCUUUAAGAGUCCCUAUCGACAAGAGGGUUUACGACCUCGAUGUUGGAUCAGGACAUCCUAAUGGUGCAGCCGCUAUUAAGGGUUCGCGGUCGAAGAUAGUC
Molecule: ribosomal RNA, 577 nt
Filed under: Acanthopagrus latus (yellowfin seabream)
Lineage: Eukaryota; Metazoa; Chordata; Actinopteri; Spariformes; Sparidae
Description: partial 16S ribosomal RNA
Rfam family: Bacterial large subunit ribosomal RNA
Source: RNAcentral